AAAAUGAAAUGAUCAAUAAUCCACUAUUUGUGGAAUUAUUCAAAUAAUUAGUAUAAAUUAGAGGGGCAGACAAGGAAUAAAAAACAACAUUACAAAGGAGAUUUUGGUACAAGAAUUGGAUUAUUCUGAAAUUAUGCAGACCAUGAAUCUUCAACUUGCUGAUAAUGCCUUUCAUAGCUAUACACAGCGUUCCCAUAACUGCGAGCAUCAUCACUUCUUUCGCCGUAUGGAUAUGGAUUCCCAAACAGAUAAUCAGCACUUUCUUUCCAUUGAUUGCUGCAAUUUCCAUAAUCUGCAACUUGUUGACAAUCGUUCACUCUCCUUGCAUAACGAGUCAGGCAGGGCCAGUACCCAAAUAAACCUUCACAAAGAUCCAUUGCUUCCAACCCAUACCCAGAUGGAAUUUCAGGCACUGACACUUGUUUCUCAUACUCAUAUCCGUUGCCAUACCCAGACCAAGGAGAGUGAUCAUCACCAUACUUUUCCUUGCUUUCCUCUCCAGGAUACAAGUCUAAAGGCUCCCUCUGAGAAUUGCCAUGGUCAUGGUCAUACUCACCUAGCUGCUGCUGCUCUGUCUCGUUGAUGGCGGGUGGUUGUGGUUGGCUUUCGCUCGGGGGUGUUUUUGCAUGCUCUUCAACUUCCUUUUCUCCAAUAGGGGAUGUUAUCGGCACAGAAGAGACUCCAUUUAAGGGUAAGAUACCCAGAUCAGGCGUGGAGCGAGGAUAACAAGUUUCAUCAGAAGGUGGAAGGGGUUUGCCAUAGGUCUGAGUCAGAUCAUAGCCACCACCAUAAGGUGUUGGAUCAUAUUCUUCAAAAUCAGGCUCUCCAGACUCUGAAACAGAGUAAGAUAUGAUGAACUGAGUCUGAGCAGGAAAGUAAAGAUCAGGAUCAUACUGAAUAUACUUGGGUUCGCUGGAAGUGGAUACAGAAUAUGCAGUUCUUGAAUAACUUGAAACAGGAUCGUAAGCAACGAAAAGAGGAAUCGGAUCAUAGGCAAAAAUUUGGUAAUCAUUGGACUUGUAGCUGGAAUACGCCAUAGCAUCUUGAAUUGCUGCAGAAUCAUAACUAUUAUAGCAAGGGGUCAAAGGGUAUUCACCAUCGUACUCACCAUGAUCAUCCAUAUAAUAGCUAGAGCUGUAGUAAGCCAUUGUGUAUCAAUCUGGCUUCUAAUUUCUCGUCAAGAAGCAAGAUACAUGAGAAAUCAAAAAGAUGAAUACAGCAGUUACUUGCACAUCUGAACUUGACUCAAUUCAGAUGCCCACCACCAUUCAGUUGCAGGCCUUAUCUGAUAAAGGAUAGGUGGGAUGCCACUGUCACAAGAAAAACUCUCCAAAAAGAAUUUGACGUUUUGUGAUGAUAAGAUAAGGAUCUAAAUUAAGAUAAUUUGCAAGGCCUGUUGAAGAUAAACCUUUGCCUUUAGUCCAUGAAAAGGACAAAACUUUCAAAGGCCAUAUGACGGAGGACACAAGCUGAAAGCAACCGAAAAAGCAUCCCUGUUAUUUCAGCUGAAGGGGGUAGGAGGGGUUAG
RNAcentral lists this unclassified non-coding RNA (1528 nucleotides) under Hevea brasiliensis (rubber tree). Lineage: Eukaryota; Viridiplantae; Streptophyta; Magnoliopsida; Malpighiales; Euphorbiaceae. The record is from RNAcentral.